GACGAACGCUGGCGGCGUGCCUAACACAUGCAAGUCGAACGAGGUCCAUCCUUCGGGAGAAGACCUAGUGGCGAACGGGUGAGUAACACGUGAGAAACCUGCCCCGAAGACCGGGAUAACCCUCCGAAAGGAGAGCUAAUACCGGAUGCCCCCACCGAGCCGCAUGGCUUGGUGAGGAAAUGGAUUCCGCUUCGGGAGGGUCUCGCGGCCUAUCAGCUAGUUGGUGGGUAACGCCACAAGGCAUCGACGGGUAGCUGGUCUGAGAGGACGAUCAGCCACACUGGGACUGAGACACGGCCCAGACUCCUACGGGAGGCAGCAGUGGGGAAUCUUGCGCAAUGGGCGAAAGCCUGACGCAGCAACGCCGCGUGGGGGAUGAAGGCUCUCGGG
Molecule: ribosomal RNA, 390 nt
Filed under: uncultured bacterium
Lineage: Bacteria
Description: bacterial SSU rRNA
Rfam family: Bacterial small subunit ribosomal RNA
Source: RNAcentral